This is a long non-coding RNA of Diabrotica virgifera virgifera (western corn rootworm), 939 nucleotides long. RefSeq lists it as uncharacterized. The transcript is spliced from 2 exons. The record is from RefSeq and is a predicted model, not a curated record. NCBI's taxonomy places the organism in Eukaryota, Metazoa, Arthropoda, Insecta, Coleoptera, Chrysomelidae.
GGCCCGAUUGUACAUUGGCGGCUUAAGCUAUGGCUUAGUUGAACCGGGUUCAAUUUUGAGCGUCGGUUUAACUUCAUUCGGGUUGUUCAAUGCCGAGUUCAGUUAAGCCGAGGUUCAUACAAAUUUUGGUAAGGUUGGCAACGUAAGGCAUGCGUAUUCAAAGCAAUUCCCGUCAAUUCUCGACAUAAAUUUUCCCGCCAUUUAUGUAUUAUUAUUUGGUUUUUGUCAAUAUAAUUCUUUUAUUACUGUUAUUAGUUUAAUCGGUAUUUUCUAUCGUUUAGUUUAUCAGUUUAAUCAAUUUCCUACGUUAAAUUUGUGAACAGACCAUUUGAAUAGCUUGUGAUGAAGGAUUGCGUAAGGGUGUUAUCAGGUUUUCUUGACUCCGUAACCACUAUCACCAAAGAAGAUACUAAUUCAAUCUUCACAUUCUCUUCUCAUAAAUAUUUAACUGUUUACAGCUAUGAUUUCAAAUUCACUCAAAAAUGUUAAUAUUUGCCUUAUUCUAGGGAAGUAGGUAGGUAAUUUAAAUAAUUUUAGAAGGUAAAUUAGUUUGUAAUUAUUAUUAAAUAAAGUGAUAAUAUGUACCUACAUAAGCAUGGUACAAAUAUAAUUAAUUUAAGAUUUAUUAAUAAAUUAUGUACAUCUAAUUUAAUAAAUUAACAAAAUCGUUUUCUACAUUUGCUUCAAAAUCAUUCACAAGUUGCAAAAAGGAGCCUGUUGCUUAAAACCAGUGAUAUGGGCCCACUUCACUGCACAAAACCUUAAUUUAAGGCAAUAAAAACAAUGUUCUUAGAAGAUACAGCUUGGUUCUUGAAAUGUCAAUAACAAAUUUGCCACUUGUUUUCGUUCUCGUUCUUACCUAUCUGUUCGAUUUUUUAUUCUAUGAGCAAUACUAGUUUCAUACAAAUAGUGAACAGUGAACAGAUAUCCAAAAUCUUU